ACUCGACUAAGCGAGAAUAAAAAGGCUUUAGGCUUAGAGCGUUCGCCCUUCGGGGCGGGGUAGUA
RNAcentral lists this ribozyme (65 nucleotides) under unclassified sequences. RNAcentral's name for it is "pistol ribozyme". It matches the Rfam family "Pistol ribozyme". The record is from RNAcentral. RNAcentral also lists the same sequence under 1 other name.